Molecule: ribosomal RNA, 448 nt
Filed under: uncultured bacterium
Lineage: Bacteria
Description: bacterial SSU rRNA
Rfam family: Bacterial small subunit ribosomal RNA
Source: RNAcentral
ACCAGACUCCUACGGGAGGCAGCAGUGGGGGAUAUUGCACAAUGGGGGGAACCCUGAUGCAGCGACGCCGCGUGGGUGAAGGAGUGCUUCGGCAUGUAAAGCCCUAUCGGCAGGGAAGAAGCAAGACGGUACCUGACUAAGAAGCCCCGGCUAAAUACGUGCCAGCAGCCGCGGUAAUACGUAUGGUGCAAGCGUUAUCCGGAUUUACUGGGUGUAAAGGGAGCGCAGGCGGCACGGCAAGCCUGAUGUGAAAGCCCGCGGCCCAACCGCGGGACUGCAUUGGGAACUACCGGGCUGGAGUGCCGGAGAGGUAGGCGGAGUUCCUAGUGUAGCGGUGAAAUGCGUAGAUAUUAGGAGGAACACCGGUGGCGAAGGCGGCCUGCUGGACUGCGACUGACGUUGAGGCUCGAAAGCGUGGGGAGCAAACAGGAUUAGAUACCCUUGUACA